This 424-nucleotide ribosomal RNA is filed under the name uncultured beta proteobacterium. Its description in RNAcentral is "bacterial SSU rRNA". It matches the Rfam family "Bacterial small subunit ribosomal RNA", at positions 202 to 622 of the family's 1533-position model. The record is from RNAcentral. Lineage: Bacteria; Pseudomonadati; Pseudomonadota; Betaproteobacteria.
AAAGACCUUAUGCUUUUGGAGCGGCCGAUGUCUGAUUAGCUAGUUGGUAAGGUAAUGGCUUACCAAGGCGACGAUCAGUAGUUGGUCUGAGAGGACGGCCAGCCACACUGGGACUGAGACACGGCCCAGACUCCUACGGGAGGCAGCAGUGGGGAAUUUUGGACAAUGGGCGCAAGCCUGAUCCANCAAUGCCGCGUGAGUGAAGAAGGCCUUCGGGUUGUAAAGCUCUUUCAGUCNAGAANAAAAGGUUGUGACUAAUAAUUGCAACUGAUGACGGUAUCGACAGAAGAAGCACCGGCUAACUACGUGCCAGCAGCCGCGGUAAUACGUAGGGUGCGAGCGUUAAUCGGAAUUACUGGGCGUAAAGGGUGCGCAGGCGGUUCUGUAAGUCAGAUGUGAAAUCCCCGGGCUUAACCUGGGAACU